RNAcentral lists this ribosomal RNA (445 nucleotides) under uncultured bacterium. RNAcentral describes it as "partial 16S ribosomal RNA". It matches the Rfam family "Bacterial small subunit ribosomal RNA", at positions 354 to 796 of the family's 1533-position model. The record is from RNAcentral.
GUGAGGAAUAUUGUGCAAUGGAGGCAACUCUGACGCAGCCAUGCCGCGUGCAGGAAGAAGGCGCUACGCGUUGUAAACUGCUUUUAACUGGGAAGAAACCCCAGGACGUGUCCUGGGUUGACGGUACCGGAGGAAUAAGCACCGGCUAACUUCGUGCCAGCAGCCGCGGUAAUACGAAGGGUGCAAGCGUUAUCCGGAUUCAUUGGGUUUAAAGGGUGCGUAGGCGGAGCGUUAAGUCAGUGGUGAAAUCCUGCAGCUUAACUGUAGACUUGCCAUUGAUACUGGCGCUCUUGAGUGCGCUUGAAGUGGGCGGAAUGUGCCGUGUAGCGGUGAAAUGCUUAGAUAUGGCACAGAACACCAAUUGCGAAGGCAGCUCACUAAGGCGAUACUGACGCUGAGGCACGAAAGCGUGGGGAUCGAACAGGAUUAGAAACCCCGGUAGUCC